Molecule: long non-coding RNA, 383 nt
Filed under: Setaria italica (foxtail millet)
Lineage: Eukaryota; Viridiplantae; Streptophyta; Magnoliopsida; Poales; Poaceae
Description: long non-coding RNA (SITA_LNC000276)
Source: RNAcentral
GCCUCAAGCUCUACCAGCCGGAGGAGUUCCACGUCAUCAACCCGACCAAGAAGACGCGCGUCGGCAACCCCGUCGGUUACAAGGUCGUCCCCGCCGGCACCGCCGCCAGCUUGCUCGACCCCGAGGAUCCGCCGCAGAAGAGAGGCGCCUUCACAAACAAUCAGGUCAGAUUUUAUAUGAUUGAGAUUUAGAAUGUUAUUAUAUAGAAAUGCAUGGGUUGACAUUAUUUGAUUUAAUUACAUUUGUGACACUAGAUAUGGGUGACACCCUACAACAAGAGCGAGGAAUGGGCAGGUGGUCUGUUCGUGUACCAGAGCAAAGGGGAGGACACGCUGGCCACUUGGUCCGAGAGGUGUGUGCGUGCACACGUUGCAUCGUAGCUC